AUACCCGCUGAACUUAAGCAUAUCAAUAAGCGGAGGAAAAGAAACCAACAGGGAUUGCCCCAGUAACGGCGAGUGAAGCGGCAUCAGCUCAAAUUUGAAAUCUGGCGUCUUCGGCGUCCGAGUUGUAAUUUGUAGAGAGUGUCUCGGGUGGAGCACCGGUCCAAGUCCCUUGGAACAGGAUAUCAUAGAGGGUGAGAAUCCCGUAUCCGGCCGGCCCCCUCCCCCGCUGUGAGGCCUCUUCGACGAGUCGAGUUGUUUGGGAAUGCAGCUCUAAAUUGGAGGUAAAUUCCUUCUAAAGCUAAAUACUGGCCAGAGACCGAUAGCGCACAAGUAGAGUGAUCGAAAGAUGAAAAGCACUUUGAAAAGAGAGUCAAACAGUACGUGAAAUUGUUGAAAGGGAAGCGUAUGCGGCCAGACUUGUCCCCAGUUGCUCAGCCCGUCUUUUGGCGGGUGUACUCUUCUGGAGCCAGGCCAGCAUCGGUUUGGGCGGUCGGAUAAAGAUGUCAGGAAUGUGGCCCCCCUCGGGGGGUGUUAUAGCCUGGCGUGCAAUGCGAUCAGCCCGGACCGAGGCCCGCGUUCUGCUAGGAUGCUGGCGUAAUGGCCGUAUACGGCCCGUCUUG
This 620-nucleotide ribosomal RNA is filed under the name Troposporella fumosa. RNAcentral describes it as "Helicoma fumosum partial 28S ribosomal RNA". It matches the Rfam family "Eukaryotic large subunit ribosomal RNA", at positions 21 to 656 of the family's 3401-position model. Lineage: Eukaryota; Fungi; Ascomycota; Dothideomycetes; Venturiales; Sympoventuriaceae. The record is from RNAcentral.